RNAcentral lists this long non-coding RNA (918 nucleotides) under Heterocephalus glaber (naked mole-rat). RNAcentral's name for it is "lncRNA (ENSHGLG00100043247.1)". The record is from RNAcentral. Lineage: Eukaryota; Metazoa; Chordata; Mammalia; Rodentia; Bathyergidae.
CCGCAGGCCUUUGCAGGGCUAAUGCCAGCUCUUCAAGUCACUUGAUUCACCAGGGCUGCCUUAUCUUAGCCCUGUCUUUGGUUUUAACUUGCUAGGGCAAUUAUGGCUUGCUUUGGCUUUUAUCUGGUUUUAUGGUACAGAAUUAUGCUGUUUUGCAUAUUGGGGAUCAAACCCAGGGCCUCAUGCAUGCUAGACGAGCACUCAAUGAUGCAGAUAUAUCCCUAGCCCUUUAAAAAAAUUUUUGUGAACAGGUCUCAAACUCUAUUUCAAUGAGUUGACAUGGCUGACUUCAAACUUGGGAUCUGCCUGCCUCAGCUUCCCAAGUAGCUGGGGUUGCAGGCAAGAGAAGGGAAAUGGGAAACAAGUGUCCUUCAACGUGGAUUUGAAGGCACAGUUCCCCUUCCCCAUCCUCAUCCUAAGGCUGGCAUCCUAAGCCUCCUGAGUGCAGCAGAAAGUUCUUAACAUUGGGCACACCAGGGCCCUGCACCUCCGAGGGAGCCAGAGCUCAGAAGCUGUCAGCUCUUGCCAUCACUAUAAAAUUCCCACUGCCUUCUAUGGAAUGUUUUUGUGCUUGAUGAUCACUGCCUAGAUCAAUGAGCAGUGGGAAUUAUAAAAUCAUGUGCUACUGUAAUUUAUGACCUGGAAUUAUCCUGUAGAGAGCUUUUCCCUCAAAUGUUACCCUGAAAUGAAGUUCACAUUAAUAGGCCUAAUUCUCUUUAUCAGUUUCUAUUGCAUUUAUUUUUGUUUGUUUUGAGACAGUGUCUUGCUGUGCAGUCCAAGUUGGCCUAGAACUCACUAUGUAGCCCAGGCGAUCUUCCUGCCUGAGCCUCCCAAGUGCUGGGAUUGCAGGCGUGCACCCCUGGCUCUAUUGCUUUUAAAAUGACUUAAAAAUGCCUACAUUAAACAUCUAUAUUAAGC